UUUUAUGGAGAGUUUGAUCCUGGCUCAGGAUGAACGCUGGCGGCGUGCCUAAUACAUGCAAGUCGAGCGAACGGACGAGAAGCUUGCUUCUCUGAUGUUAGCGGCGGACGGGUGAGUAACACGUGGAUAACCUACCUAUAAGACUGGGAUAACUUCGGGAAACCGGAGCUAAUACCGGAUAAUAUUUUGAACCGCAUGGUUCAAAAGUGAAAGACGGUCUUGCUGUCACUUAUAGAUGGAUCCGCGCUGCAUUAGCUAGUUGGUAAGGUAACGGCUUACCAAGGCAACGAUGCAUAGCCGACCUGAGAGGGUGAUCGGCCACACUGGAACUGAGACACGGUCCAGACUCCUACGGGAGGCAGCAGUAGGGAAUCUUCCGCAAUGGGCGAAAGCCUGACGGAGCAACGCCGCGUGAGUGAUGAAGGUCUUCGGAUCGUAAAACUCUGUUAUUAGGGAAGAACAUAUAUGUAAGUAACUGUGCACAUCUUGACGGUACCUAAUCAGAAAGCCACGGCUAACUACGUGCCAGCAGCCGCGGUAAUACGUAGGUGGCAAGCGUUAUCCGGAAUUAUUGGGCGUAAAGCGCGCGUAGGCGGUUUUUUAAGUCUGAUGUGAAAGCCCACGGCUCAACCGUGGAGGGUCAUUGGAAACUGGAAAACUUGAGUGCAGAAGAGGAAAGUGGAAUUCCAUGUGUAGCGGUGAAAUGCGCAGAGAUAUGGAGGAACACCAGUGGCGAAGGCGACUUUCUGGUCUGUAACUGACGCUGAUGUGCGAAAGCGUGGGGAUCAAACAGGAUUAGAUACCCUGGUAGUCCACGCCGUAAACGAUGAGUGCUAAGUGUUAGGGGGUUUCCGCCCCUUAGUGCUGCAGCUAACGCAUUAAGCACUCCGCCUGGGGAGUACGACCGCAAGGUUGAAACUCAAAGGAAUUGACGGGGACCCGCACAAGCGGUGGAGCAUGUGGUUUAAUUCGAAGCAACGCGAAGAACCUUACCAAAUCUUGACAUCCUUUGACAACUCUAGAGAUAGAGCUUUCCCCUUCGGGGGACAAAGUGACAGGUGGUGCAUGGUUGUCGUCAGCUCGUGUCGUGAGAUGUUGGGUUAAGUCCCGCAACGAGCGCAACCCUUAAGCUUAGUUGCCAUCAUUAAGUUGGGCACUCUAAGUUGACUGCCGGUGACAAACCGGAGGAAGGUGGGGAUGACGUCAAAUCAUCAUGCCCCUUAUGAUUUGGGCUACACACGUGCUACAAUGGACAAUACAAAGGGCAGCGAAACCGCGAGGUCAAGCAAAUCCCAUAAAGUUGUUCUCAGUUCGGAUUGUAGUCUGCAACUCGACUACAUGAAGCUGGAAUCGCUAGUAAUCGUAGAUCAGCAUGCUACGGUGAAUACGUUCCCGGGUCUUGUACACACCGCCCGUCACACCACGAGAGUUUGUAACACCCGAAGCCGGUGGAGUAACCUUUUAGGAGCUAGCCGUCGAAGGUGGGACAAAUGAUUGGGGUGAAGUCGUAACAAGGUAGCCGUAUCGGAAGGUGCGGCUGGAUCACCUCCUUUCUAA
RNAcentral lists this ribosomal RNA (1557 nucleotides) under Staphylococcus aureus. Its description in RNAcentral is "bacterial SSU rRNA". It matches the Rfam family "Bacterial small subunit ribosomal RNA". The record is from RNAcentral. Lineage: Bacteria; Bacillati; Bacillota; Bacilli; Caryophanales; Staphylococcaceae.